UGCGCAGGCGGUUUUGCAAGUCUGAUGUGAAAGCCCCGGGCUUAACCUGGGAACGGCAUUGGAGACUGCAAGACUAGAGUGCGUCAGAGGGGGGUAGGAUUCCACGUGUAGCAGUGAAAUGCGUAGAGAUGUGGAGGAAUACCGAUGGCGAAGGCAGCCCCCUGGGAUGACACUGACGCUCAUGCACGAAAGCGUGGGGAGCAAACAGGAUUAGAUACCCUGGUAGUCCACGCCCUAAACGAUGUCAAUUAGCUGUUGGGGGUUUGAAUCCUUGGUAGCGAAGCUAACGCGUGAAAUUGACCGCCUGGGGAGUACGGCCGCAAGGUUAAA
This 330-nucleotide ribosomal RNA is filed under the name uncultured bacterium. Its description in RNAcentral is "bacterial SSU rRNA". It matches the Rfam family "Bacterial small subunit ribosomal RNA", at positions 568 to 898 of the family's 1533-position model. The record is from RNAcentral.